This 26-nucleotide non-coding RNA is filed under the name Homo sapiens (human). Lineage: Eukaryota; Metazoa; Chordata; Mammalia; Primates; Hominidae. The record is from RNAcentral.
UGAGCCACGCACUUAUUAUUUCCAUA